UGAAAAGCUGUGAACAAGCGCAGUAGUCGAUGGAUGGAAUCCAUGUCAGAGAGCUGGUGGUUGGUGCGAACCAGCGGAUCGCUAUCGAUGAAUUACACUUGGGAGCUGAUGCCGGCCUAAGGAGGUCGGUGUACGGAGCGAUCCGUUAUGCAAUGAGGGGAAAGCCAAUUCGUGCUUUCAAUUAGGGUGGUACCGCGGAAAUAAACUCCGUCCCUUUU
RNAcentral lists this non-coding RNA (218 nucleotides) under Thermoactinomyces vulgaris. Its description in RNAcentral is "T-box sequence". It matches the Rfam family "T-box leader". From Rfam's summary of the family: Uncharged tRNA acts as the effector for transcription antitermination of genes in the T-box leader family. Lineage: Bacteria; Bacillati; Bacillota; Bacilli; Caryophanales; Thermoactinomycetaceae. The record is from RNAcentral.